UGUUGCACUGGUAAUCCUGCUCAGUACGAGAGGAACCCAUGUUCAGACAUUUGGUGUAUGUGCUUGACUGAGGAGCCACUGGAGCAAGGCUACCAUCUGUGGGAUUAUGACUGAAUGCCUCUAAGUCAGGAAAGAAAUAAGGAGAUGUGGCA
Ribosomal RNA from Callipepla squamata (scaled quail), 152 nucleotides. It matches the Rfam family "Eukaryotic large subunit ribosomal RNA", at positions 3009 to 3159 of the family's 3401-position model. The record is from Rfam. Lineage: Eukaryota; Metazoa; Chordata; Aves; Galliformes; Odontophoridae.